This 292-nucleotide ribosomal RNA is filed under the name uncultured eukaryote. RNAcentral's name for it is "partial 18S ribosomal RNA". It matches the Rfam family "Eukaryotic small subunit ribosomal RNA", at positions 6 to 313 of the family's 1831-position model. The record is from RNAcentral.
GGUUGAUCCUGCCAGUAGUCAUAUGCUUGUCUCAAGGACUAAGCCAUGCAAGUGCAAGUAUAAGCGAUUAUACGGUGAGACUGCGAAUGGCUCAUUAAAUCAGUUAUGAUUUACUUGAUGAUACAUUACCAAAUGGAUAACCGUGGUAAUUCUAGAGCUAAUACAUGCAUUGAGGGCGGCCUUUUUGGACGCCAGCAUUUAUUAGGUACAAACCAAUAUAUAGUUGGUGAAUCAUGAUAACUUGGCGGAUCGCAUUCCAUUGGAGGCGACGUAUCAAUCAAAUUUCUGCCCU